AUUAAAAUUAAAAAAUAAACAUAGAGUAAUUCAUCUCCGUCGAACCUCCAUUGAUGUCGUCUUACCUUGUCAAGGUCCACCGAUCUCGUCGUCUAUGUUCUUCGUUUCGACCCAUCACCUCACAAUCGAACCAUAUAUCAUUCGUUUUCUCUCCUUCAAACCCUAAAUUGCUCUUCGUUAUUAACACCUCUAUCAACCAUGUAACAAAAAAAAAACACCUCUAUCAACCACGCUCGAACACCAGAUUUGUCGCCCUCACCCCUUCUUCGAUGCCUUUCGUUGACAGAAAGAAAGAAACUAUCACGCAAAGGAGCUUUUUGCCAACCCCUUCACUGACGAGCUUCUGCCCUCAUACACAGGUUUGAUUUGAAACCCUAAUCUUGUCUGAUC
RNAcentral lists this long non-coding RNA (390 nucleotides) under Trifolium pratense (red clover). Its description in RNAcentral is "long non-coding RNA (TPRA_LNC004004)". Lineage: Eukaryota; Viridiplantae; Streptophyta; Magnoliopsida; Fabales; Fabaceae. The record is from RNAcentral.